This 301-nucleotide ribosomal RNA is filed under the name uncultured bacterium. Its description in RNAcentral is "partial 16S ribosomal RNA". It matches the Rfam family "Bacterial small subunit ribosomal RNA", at positions 509 to 807 of the family's 1533-position model. The record is from RNAcentral.
CAGUCGCCACGGUAAUACAGAGGAUGCAAGCGUUAUCCGGAAUGAUUGGGCGUAAAGCGUCUGUAGGUGGCUUUUCAAGUCCGCCGUCAAAUCCCAGGGCUCAACCCUGGACAGGCGGUGGAAACUACCAAGCUGGUGUACGGUAGGGGCAGAGGGAAUUUCCGGUGUAGCGGUGAAAUGCGUAGAUAUAUGGAGGAACACCGGUGGCGAAAGCGGCUCUCUGGCUUGUAACUGACGCUGAGGCUCGAAAGCGUGGGGAGCAAACAGGAUUAGAUACCCCCGUAGUCCCUGUCUCUUAUAC